RNAcentral lists this long non-coding RNA (9994 nucleotides) under Selaginella moellendorffii. RNAcentral describes it as "long non-coding RNA (SMOE_LNC001429)". Lineage: Eukaryota; Viridiplantae; Streptophyta; Lycopodiopsida; Selaginellales; Selaginellaceae. The record is from RNAcentral.
UCUGAAAGCAGCAGCUUCUUGUCCAGCUCCUUUCCCUUUCCUGUUAACAGGGUCUCUGCCUGGGUUCGAAAGUAAGGUGACAGAAGCCGAAAUCUGCCAUUAAGGUCUUUGCAGAAGCAGGUAAGCUUGAUCUUCGGAGCUAGCCGCGGAGGUAGUUUUCCAUCACCCACCACCAUGUUGAUAGCAGCGACCAGAUCUUCCUUCGAGUCCAACUUUCCAACGAAUUCCGUCCAGAGCUUAUCCUCGUACUUGGCGUUUCAGCCACUGCUGCCUGUCGCCACCACAUUCUUUGUAGAAGCGUAACAAGCGCGGUAUUCCCCCCGUCAGAUUAUCCAGAUCCAGCAGCGCAGAAGCUGGUAGAUUUGCCUGCGCAAUCCAUGUAUUCAGCUCCUCUUCCGUGUAGGGACCGUCAAACUCUUCAGUUAGCAUAUAGUCUUCAGCCUUGUCAAGUUUUGCACUUUCAUAUGGCUCGGGGCUGUCUAUGGACAAGACUGUGAUGCGAACACUGACUCCAGAGGCACGAACCAGGUGAGCUUUCAGGCGAUGAAGCAGCUGUGGCUCCACCUUAUCAUUCGUCCUUGGAUCAAGCUGUUCCCAGUCAUCGAUGAUGAAAAGCAAACCUGUCCUGCCCUCGCACCACGCCACCAGGUCUUCUACACUGAGCAAAUUCUGCAACUCCUCCCACACGGUCUUGCACUGGCCAAAUGCAAGCAGCAAGGCCUCGAGCAGAACCUUGUCCGGCUCUGAGAUGUAACGGGUUGCCGAGAUAUACACCACCUUUUUGCCGUUGGCGAGGAGGAAGCCGGCUUCGGUGCUCAUGACAGUACUCUUGCCACUGCCUUUACCCCCAAUGACCUGCAAGCGAUUUGCAUUGUGGAGCUUCAAAAUGCUAGAAUGGAGCUUCUCAGCGCCAGCACGACCAAUGUAGUUGUACUUGUCGUCCAUGUUUCCAUGUUUGCAUUAAGAGUUGGUAGAAGCAGCCCCAAGUAAACAGCUCCUCCAUCCCACAGGAAUGAGCAAUCCUUGCCAGCGUACAAUUCCUGCAGCGCCUUGUAUCGCUGUUUAAUAAUCACGCCCCUGUCCUCCCGCUUUCUUCUCAUCCUUCCUGUCGAGAAGCGGGUCACUGGCACACGAGAGGAAAGAAAGACGGAAGCACGUACCAGCAGGUGGCCACUAGCAAAGCAUUGACUUGCUGAAUGCGAGUUGGGAGUGCCGAUUCGAGAGCCUUCUCGAGCCGCCCGACACCCUGAGCUCGGCGAUAAGCGUUGGCAUCCACGAACCCCGCCGCCGAAAGAUUUUGGAAGUCGUCCGCUGUGAACAGCUCGAAAUCGACGCCACUCACCAGUGAGCGCACCACGCCCUCCGCCGCCAUAAGCAACCAACCGGGUUUAACACAAGAAUAUCCAGGUAUAUUGUGCCACUUUAGGGUAUGACGAUGUUUAACUGAUGUCUGCCACUUUUAGACUUUAGACGAUGUAUCUUUGAGCUUUGAGCUAUGGAGUUUUUUGCUUGCUUUUAGUGCGUUUGAGGGGAACCAAAGGUGCUGAGCUAUGUGGAUUAAAUUUUUCUUUUAAUUGUCUUCAAAAAAAAUCCCCCACAAGCGCCAAGAACACUCACGAACGCGGUCCUCAUUUGCUGUACAUGGCGAUGAGCGCAUUGUCAAUGUGGCCGUCUCUUCGAUUGAGCACCACAUCUCGCAAACAUGGUGAUGGCCGCGUUAGAUACCUUGAAAGAUUCGCAACCAGAUUCUUUGACCAACCUAUAGGCUUGGACUCCCUGCGCCAAGUGCCACACGCAUCCAGCGCGCAUACCCACGUCACCUCCGUGGCACCAAUGCCUUCCUGCCACAUGGCACGGAGCAGAGUGAGGACCUCGUUCUGCGAGUAUGCCGCCAGCAUGGCGUUCCACGUCACCACAUUCUUCGCAGGUCAAACAUCUCUUUGGUCUCUUGCAAAUGCCCAUUACGGGUAUAUGCCGCGAGCAUGAUGUUCCACGAGAAGGAAUUCCUCUCGUAGAUAGCCUCAAACGCUGCAUGGGCGUCCUCCACGCAUCCACACUCCCCAUACAUCUGGACGAGAAGAUUCCCUAGAUACCUGUCGCCGCCAUAGCCAGAGGUGUGGAGCUGGGCGUGGAUCUCCCUGCCACGUUCGAUCUCCCGCCGCCGCCCACAUCCCCUCAGCUCGCUCGCAAACCAGUCCUGGACUGCCGCCAGUUCUAUUACAGGAAGCUUGAUGCUGAGCCACAGCUAACUAGAAUGUGUAGAUUUGGAUUCCAUGAUUCCAAGUCCUGAGGAAUUGCAAUGGAAUUGUCGAUCGAUGCGUGUACGGAUCAGGCGGUGGGGAGGCUCUUGCACGGAGUUUAUCCUCGAAAGCCACGGCAAUGCUCAACGCACUGGUGACUAUGUACAGCAAGUGUGGCGACCUCGUACGGGCGGAGGGCGAUCACGUGUCUAUGGUAGAUCCUAUCCUGUGGAAUACGAUGAUUGGAGCAUAUGCCCAGUUUGGGCAUAUGGCCGGUGCUUUGGAAGCUCUUGAGGGAAAUUGGAGCUUCUCUGACCACUGUGACUUUCACGAGCUCUCUAGUGGGUUGUAGCUGGAGAGGAUUCUUCGAAGAAUCGAGGGAAUUGUUUCUCGCAAUGUAAGACUGUGGAUUGGAUCCCAAUGGCGAGCACUUUGAUCUCUUGUGUCGCGCGGGGAAGCUUCAGGAGGCUCGGGAUUUUAUCGUUAGAACUCCGUGCGUGGUCGGCUCUUGUGACUGCUUGUAGCGUUCAUGGGGGCCUUAUGUCUGUCUCUCCAUUCCUCAGCGGGAAUACAAGAUGAUGUUGCAGAGCAAGAAAGAAUAGAUCUUUUGCCUAAAACAAAGUAAAGCUUGAAGAGCUAUCAAAUUGCCAUUUUAAUGGUACCAAGUCCAAAGACUUCACUGUAUACACAACUAGAUCUAGCUCGUAAGAAAUAGAGAGAACGUUUUCGUGGCAAAUUUGCUCAUCCAGAUGCACGGUAAAUGCAAGGAUUUUUCCGAAUGAUGCCGGCAACUGUAAUGGUUUUUGCAAGCUGCGAUGGGCAAUGACAGUGAGGCAUGUGCCUUACAGGAGAGCUUAUUGCAGGGAUAUGCGGAGAAUUGUCUUCUAGACAAAAGAAAAAAACUACUUUGUGUGUUCAACUUUAGGGUUUUAAGGAAUAUUUUCAUUUGUGAGGUCUAAAUCUAUAAUUCCAAUGUUAUAUAUUAUUAUAAGUUUAGUAGGACUUUAACAACUGUUGGAUUUGAUUUUCUAGACCACUCACUUAUAAAUGGCUAAUAUGAAUAUGCACAUUGGUUGAGAGAAGUGCAUGGAUAUAUAGUUUUUGUUUAGAUUUAACUUUUGUAUUGUUUAAAUAGUUUUUAUUUUUAUAAUUUUUUCUAUUUCUUUUUCUUUUGUUUCUCCUCUUCUUUUCAUCCAUAGUUGAGUAAUAUAUUCCUUUGUAACAACUUCCUCCCUUGUCUAUGGAGCAGUAAUUCAUAUAACUUAUCAAUAUUAUAAGAAUGUAAUUGAACAAUCAAACUCAUUGUCCUAAGAAUGAUAAAUAACAAUUAUAGUGAAGAGAUCAAAUUUAUGAUAUAUGUAAACUUUAGAGUUCCCAUGAAAGAAAUCCAACUAAACCUAAGCAAAAGGAAAGAAAAAUAUAUUAUGUCUAAUGUUUAUGCAAGUUUUCCAAUCAUUUGCAAAGAAUAGCAUUGUACUGGUAUAAUAAUUUGAGUACAGUAACUCAUGUGGAUUAAAGCUUUCUUUUAAAUGUCUUCAAACAAAUAUUUGAACAUAUUAACAACUAUAACAAUGCCUUUGAGAAAUUACAUCAUCUUUAUCAAAUGCCAUCUAAAUUGCAGAUUAGUAAGAAAGAAACCCUCCCUAAUAGAGUUGUUAAAUGUUGAGAAGAGUGUGAAACACAAAUCCCUAAAUCUCAUAAAUGAAUGAAAGUGUGUUAAUGGCCAAAGCAAAAGUCUAACAAAUGUAACAUAUUUAGAUCAAAAGUUCUAAUUUGAACAAUCAAGAGUAAGUAGUAUAAAAGGAUUGUCUUCUAAACUUUAGGGGUCCAUAUAAGAUUGUAAACGGAGUACUUUAGGGGAACUAAUGUAAUUAAGAAAGGCUAUAUCAGGUGGUGGGUGAUGACAUACAAAAAGAGUGAAUAUGACAUUAUGAACUUUUAAGUUGCAAAACUAAUAAGUCUAAUGCUUAGUGAUUUAGUGGAGUUAAGGGAUAGUUUCAAAAAUUUAUAUUUGUGUUGUUGCAAAACUAAUAAGUCUAAUGCUUAGUGAUUUAGUGGAGUUAAGGGAUAGUUUCAAAAAUUUAUAUUUGUGUUGAGUUUAGCCAAGGGCUAAAACAAUCUUAAGAUUCAAAUAUGAAAAUAAUGAGUACCUCAUUAGUGGUUGAGAGUGCCAUGUGUAAAACAUGAAAAAAUAUUUAGAAAGGAAAAUAAUUUUUGAGGAAAGUUCUGUUUUAGCCAUUAUUAGAUAUUCUAGUCUUGGCAAAAGGCAUGGAAUAUGUUAUAAAGAUAAACUCAUAAAGCUGAUAGUGUGGAGAUAUUAAAUAUUUCAUUAAAAUAUACAUUGAAUGGGUGAAGAUGGCCAGUUUAUGAAGGAGUUUUGAAGGAAACAAAAUUAACCCAGCCUAAGCUAAAAGGCUUGUGUUUUGAUAUAAUGAGUUCUAGAACAUCAUAGCUUUAACUUUGAGGUAAUUAAGCAUAAUUUUGAUAUAAUUGAUUAAAGUGGUGGAAGUUAACUUCCUUAAACUUUUUGUUGGGAUACGAAACAAGUUUGAGAUAUCCCUUGAGGGAUAAAUUGCUUAUGUAUAAUAUAAUGAGUCAUUGUUGAAUAAGAAAAUGUUCAUUUUUCUAAGAAGUCUAUAUUUAAAUAUAUAAACAUAUAAAACAUUGAAGAAAUAGUUUUUAGUAAGGCCCAUAAAGAAUGAUGGAUAGAAUCUAAAGUUUAAGUUUAAGAAAAGCUAAAGACAAAAGAAACCUUAAUUAUCUAAAGUGGAUAAAGCUAAAAUGAUAUUGCCAUUUUUAAGUAAUGGGGACUGCCCAUAAGUAACAAUGUUAAUCCUAAUAUGUGUAAUUAUAAAUUAAAAAUACUUGCUAAAGCACAAUUAAGUGAAAAAUUUACCUCCUAGCAUGAAGGAGAAUAAGUAAAAUGAAUGUAUAAGGCCGCAAAUUAAGAGAGUGAGGAAUCAAGAAUGAGCUCAAGGGUUUAUUAAUUAUAACUAUGGUGCCAUAAAGAGUUUAAAAUAUGAAAGUUUUAAUGUUAAAUUGGGUGAUGGAUAUAAAAUGUAAGUGACUAAAUUUUCCAUUUUACUUUAGUCCCUUAACCACACUUCAAACCACUUGGAAGAGUCUCACUCAUAAUCUCCAUAAGUCUUCUUCUGGAUUUGGGGCUUGUUCACCUUAAAAAUGACAUCCUUACCAUUCAACUUUUGCAUUUGGUCUAAAUGCUCCACAUGUCUAAUCUCGUGACCGACACCCAAAGGUACCAUUGACAUAUCAGCCCAUUACGCUAAGGCCACGCCCAUUCACCUUUGCCAUACUAAUGCUCUAACACCACCUACAUCAUAGUCCCAUGUCUUAAAGACUAGGCCAUCCGUCCAUGAGUAGUCGUCCUAAAUCCACUCUUUAGCAUCCUUAAGAUGCCUGCAGACAUAGGGAAUAACCUUCCUUAAUAUCCCUUUUAUAGUCCUUAUCAAGUUCCUUUUCUGUCCAUGGCCAUAUUCACCAACACUUCCACUGGGACAAAGCCCACAUGCCUGACUACUAAAUCUUAAUGUCCUGUAGGACUUCCUCAUCACAUAAUUGUAUCCUUGGUUAGUACACCAAAGGACUAUUUCUCUUCCUUUCCAUAGUCUGGGACUUUGGGACAACAUUUCAAAACACCGUGGCCCUACACGAACCUCAUGGGUACUCUCCCCACUUUUUGCUUUUGGGUGCUCUAGCCAUGGGCUAAGAGAGAGGUUUCAUUGAGCCACAGCAAGUAUCUAAGUAGAUAGUGCCACUGUAGCGCAUGUGAUCAUGGGAUGAGAUUUAGAUAUACUGUCACCGUGGAUCCUUGGAACCUUGGGGGAUAAAUAGGGAUAAAAUAGCCACUAAGGGCUUUCUCAUCAAGCAAUUGCCCCUUUUCCAGUUGGCUUAAGGGGAGAGAGAUAAGGUGCGCUACAGUUGGUAUCAGAGCAAAUGGCACGGGUUCGAUUCCCAUUGAUUAGUGGCUACUUAAAAGUAUAAUAUACCCUUGAGUAAGGUAUAUUCCUACCCCUAAAUUUGAAAUCGUACGUAUUGGGCAUCCAUGCGUACGUCCUUCCUCUUGUAUACCCUUGAGUAAGGUAUAUUCCUACCCCUAAAUUUGAAAUCGUACGUAUUGGGCAUCCAUGCGUACGUCCUUCCUCUUGUGUGGAGUAUCCACGGACGAAGGUAUCCACUGUGGGACUGCGGUACAGGUGGAUGACUAGUUGCCUCACAUGGAAUAACUGGUCUACACAAUGGAAGGAUUGGUAGAUUGAGUGCGGAAAUGGAGGUGCUGGUUCCCCUUGGCUCAGUAGGGGUUGCUAGUCAAUAGUCAAUGAGGACAUUGACAUCUCUGAAGGGGGCAGUAGGGGUUGCUAGUCAAUAGUCAAUGAGGACAUUGACAUCUCUGAAGGGGGGGUGAGUGUAGCGUAUGUGAUCAUGGGAUGAGAUUUAGAUAUACUGUCACCGUGGAUCCUUGGAACCUUGGGGGAUAAAUGGGGAUAAAAUAGUCACUAAGGGCUCUCUCAUCAAGCAAUUGCCCCUUUUUCAGUUGGCUUAAGGAUUGGUAGAUUGAGUGCGGAAAUGGAGGUGCUGGUUCCCCUUGGCUCAGUAGGGGUUGCUAGUCAAUAGUCAAUGAGGAUAUUGACAUCUCUGAAGGGGGCAGUAGGGGUUGCUAGUCAAUAGUCAAUGAGGACAUUGACAUCUCUGAAGGGGGGGUGAGUGUAGCGCAUGUGAUCAUGGGAUGAGAUUUAGAUAUACUGUCACCGUGGAUCCUUGGAACCUUGGGGGAUAAAUGGGGAUAAAAUAGUCACUAAGGGCUCUCUCAUCAAGCAAUUGCCCCUUUUCCAGUUGGCUUAAGGGGAGAGAGAUAAGGUGCGUUACAGCCACCCAUGCUUGGACUGGGAACAUCAACCAUUUGAUUUCCCAGGGGAACUAAAGCCAAUUUUUGAACACUUCACCAAAUUACCCCACUUGUCGGUCCAUAUUCAUUCUAGCCUUGGACUUCCCAAUGGUUAUCUCAUCACCCAACACCUGGGUAUAGCUUUCUUGGGCCAAAUUGGCCUUUCCUGACCAAACUAGCUCCACUAGGGUUGAACCCCCACACUCUCCCUACUAUACUUUUGGAACCCUCUACAGCCCCCCUAUUGGGGGAUGAUCACUUUGGGCUUUCACCCAACAGCUUGUAUUAGUAUUCGGACUCAGACUCGGACUUGGACUCGGACUCGGUCUCAGUCUUGGUCUCGAUUCCAUCUCAGACUCCAUCUCGGACUCCAUCUCAGACUCCAUCUCGGGUCCAUCUUGAACUCCAUCUCAGACUCCAUCUCGGGUCCAUCUUGGGUCCAUCUCGGACUCUAUCUUGGGUCCAUCUCAAACUCCAUCUCGGACUUCAUCUCAGGUCCAUCUCGAACUCCAUCUCAAACUUUAUCUCGGGUCUAUCUCGAACUCCAUCUCAAACUCCACCACGUGUUAUAUGUUGGUCCUCUUGUGUCCCUUUUUUAGAGACUCACUUAUUGCUUGUUUCAUGCUUAUUUUUGAGCACUUCGUUGGGAGUUGCACUCCCACUCUUGACUGUCUAAGUCAGAGUUUUUAGUCCAAACAUGUUACUCUCGUUUGGCUUCCGCUUCAGCCACUACCACGUGGCACCCUUUCGGCUCCACUUUUGGGGCUUUGGGAUUUGUGUCUCAUAUAAAGCCUAUGAAAGCUCGUGAAACUAGAAGUAUCCAUACUAAGUUAAAUGGUAGCCAAAACAUUUGUGAAAGGAGAGGCAUUAAUAAACUAACAGAUGGAUUUUAGUAAAUUGAUAUUAGGAUGUCAAGUACAAAUGGUUCAUAAAAUAUGCAAAGUCAAAAUAGUGUGGUAAAAUGUGGUUUUGACGGUUGUUAGAAGGCAAGGUUACCAAAGUUUGGGAAGUAAUUUCUGCACGUUCAAAAGGAUGAUUUUGAAUGGAAGUUGAUAUCAUUUAGAUAAACUAAAAAUCAUGUCUAACUAAAUGCUAAUUCCUUGAUAUCAUCAAAUGGUAAAUAUAAUACAAUUGAGAACUAGUUAUAAUAUGGAAUUUUAGCAGUGUGAGAGUCCAAUAUGAAUAAAUGGAAUAUAAAUCCACUAGUCGAGUCUAUAUACCUAGAAGUGUCAUUAGACAAAAGCUACUUCAAAUAUCACAAGUGGUGACAUGCCAUUUAUUCUACCUUCAAGCUAGGUCUCCUCUUACCUGUAUCUAUGACAACUAAGUUCGUGUGUGACCACAUACCAUGGGACCUGCAUGAUGUGGAGCCAACUUUUCCAUAGUGCCACACAAUUAAGAUUGUGUUUGACUUUCAUGAUGUUGAGUUAGGCCUCCAAAGAAAGCUGAGAUCUCAUGUGUCCACAUUUGCAUUUAAGCCAGCUACACUGGAGAGGAUUGUCAAGACAAACAAGGCACUAUCUCCCUCUAUUGUUGCCACAAUCAGCCUUGCAAAACCAUCCUCUAGACCAUCAAUGUAAAUGGGCACACAUCAUCAGGUCAAAAUUGACUUAUACUGUUUUGUGUUAAUGGGUUCUAUUGGCAGAAGUACUUGCUGGGUUUUUACCUAAAUGGUGUAUUUUUUGCACACUUGCAUGGCUCCUUUAAUGUUGUUCCUCCCACCAAAAGCAACAGUCACAAGUUGGUCAAAAGGAACAAAUUCAGCAGUAACAAGUUGGUCAAAAGGGGCAGAUUCACCCUACUCACACAGGGGGACUUCAGGAGCUAGUAAUGACUUGUGAGAAUUGAAACAAUAAUUCAGGUUUAAUGUGCAGAGGGUUUUUGAAACUCAAACUUUCUGAAUUUUAUACAAACUAGUAACUAGAUAUUCUCUAACAUGAUCAGACAUAUCAUCAAAGCCGAGGUACUGUUUCUUGGUGUUCCAAGCUCUGAAUAAGAAAUGACAUGAAAGCAAGUAGACUGAACUUAUCACAAAAGUGCAAAUACUAGACCUCAAGAUUGAAAGGGCCCAAAGGUGGCAGCUUAAGUUGAUUCUGACCAUAAGUUAGCCAAAGAAGAAGGUAUAAAACGCAUGAUGUUUAGUUUAAAUCGAAAUAUAAUUGUGCAUUUCUAACAUCCAUUUUCAUUGAUUCAAGUAACUGUCUUUUGCAAAAUGUACAUCAUCUUUAUAUAAUGCAAAUUUUCAUUGAAGUGCAGUCCUAAUACCAAGUGCCUUUUUCCAAUGGUGAGGUCUUUAACAAUGAAUUUUGAGAGGAAUCUUCAAAACAUUUCUGAACUAUUCAAUUUUAAAAUGGAAAAUACUUUAAAUUAAUACUUUACCUGAGUUACGUUUGACUGUUUAUUUGAAUAGUGUUAUUAUAAUAUAGAAUUUCUUACAAUGCUGCAAAACUAAGUGGAAAUUUCAAGUUUUGUUCCUAUUACUUAAAAUAUAUUUGGUUUCUGUUAGGAUGUACUUGAAUUCUAGCAUAUUCUAACAAUUAUAAUGUGCCAACAUUUCUAAAGAGGUGUUUAAAACGCUCACAAAUAUAUUCCGAAUUAAGUAAGAAACAGUUUAACCAGCAGCAGCUUCUUUGUCCAGCUCCUUUCCCUUUUUUGUUAACAGGGUCUCUGCCUGGGUUCGAAAGUAAGGUGACAGAACCCGAAAUCUCUUAUUAAGGUCUUUGCAGAAGCAGGUAAGCUUGAUCUUCGGAGCUAGCCGCGGAUGUAGUUUUCCAUCACCCAUCACCAUGUUGAUAGCAGCGACCAGAUCUUCCUUCGAGUCCAGCUUUCCAACGAAUUCCGUCCAGAGCUU